CCAUUGUAGCUCUGUAGCACUUUCUCCGCUGCUGCGUGAGUAUUGAACUCAACAAAUCCAUAACGCUCUGAUUGACCAGUCUGCUUGUUUCGAAUAAUUUUCACAGAAAUAACCUGCAUGAUAUAAGACACAUGGUCGGGUACUAUUACAGAGUGCAAAGCUUAAAUUGCAAACUAAUAAUCAACUAUUGUACUCUAUAAGUGUAGUAAAGUGACACAUAGUCAGGUACUAUUACAGAGUGCAACGCUUAAAUUGCAAACUAAUAAUCAACUAUUGUACUCUAUAUGUGCAGUGAAGUGACGUAUAGGCUUGAACAAAAUAUGCUUGAGAUAAAUUUAUUUCAACCACAAAAUAAAAGGUUCCCACAAGAUUACAGUCAUAGGAAAGGCUAAGGAAUUCUGGAAAAGAAAAGGAAAACUUGCUAGAAUUCUUUAAAUGCAGUUGGUCCAAUGUCAUGUCCAUCACUAAUCACUGUUUUGAGAAAGGAAAAGCUUUUUGACAUCCUCAUUUACUCACAUUUUCUAGUGGUUUACCAUUGAACAAGCUAAGAUCAAAGCUUCUUGCUUCAAGUUUACUAGCUAUAGCAAUAUCACCAACCUCUGCCACAAAUAAUCCUAGAACAAGAACUACUACAACUAAUACAUCAGCUGAGAUAUUCUCGAAAAUUCAAAAACAAAGAUAUUUUCUCUUCACCGCUUCUCAUUCUCUUUCUUCUUUCCUUCUCUUCUUCACUCCUUUCUCUUUCUAUUUUCCCGGAGCCUCAUCCCUCCUUGCCAUCACGUACCUCCUAGACUUCUUCUUUAAAACACUCUGGCCUUCUUAUUCUUCUAAGAUGGUGUU
This 840-nucleotide long non-coding RNA is filed under the name Nicotiana benthamiana. RNAcentral describes it as "long non-coding RNA (NBEN_LNC004907)". The record is from RNAcentral. Lineage: Eukaryota; Viridiplantae; Streptophyta; Magnoliopsida; Solanales; Solanaceae.